CGGGUGCGUAACACGUAUGCAAUUUACCUUCAACAGGGGGAUAGCCCGGAGAAAUCCGGAUUAAUACCCCAUAAUGUAUCGAGAUCGCAUGGUUUUGAUAUUAAAGUUCCGGCGGUUGAAGAUGAGCAUGCGCCCCAUUAGCUAGAUGGCGAGGUAACGGCUCACCAUGGCAGCGAUAGGUAGGGGCCCUGAGAGGGGGAUCCCCCACACUGGUACUGAGACACGGACCAG
RNAcentral lists this ribosomal RNA (231 nucleotides) under uncultured bacterium. RNAcentral describes it as "partial 16S ribosomal RNA". It matches the Rfam family "Bacterial small subunit ribosomal RNA", at positions 103 to 334 of the family's 1533-position model. The record is from RNAcentral.